This 301-nucleotide ribosomal RNA is filed under the name uncultured bacterium. RNAcentral's name for it is "partial 16S ribosomal RNA". It matches the Rfam family "Bacterial small subunit ribosomal RNA", at positions 509 to 809 of the family's 1533-position model. The record is from RNAcentral.
CAGUCGCCACGGGAAUACGAAGGGGGCUAGCGUUGUUCGGAUUUACUGGGCGUAAAGCGCACGUAGGCGGAUCGAUCAGUCAGGGGUGAAAUCCCAGAGCUCAACUCUGGAACUGCCUUUGAUACUGUCGAUCUGGAGUAUGGAAGAGGUGAGUGGAAUUCCGAGUGUAGAGGUGAAAUUCGUAGAUAUUCGGAGGAACACCAGUGGCGAAGGCGGCUCACUGGUCCAUUACUGACGCUGAGGUGCGAAAGCGUGGGGAGCAAACAGGAUUAGAUACCCGGGUAGUCCCUGUCUCUUAUAA